Haplochromis burtoni (Burton's mouthbrooder) is the source of this 3689-nucleotide long non-coding RNA. RefSeq lists it as uncharacterized. Lineage: Eukaryota; Metazoa; Chordata; Actinopteri; Cichliformes; Cichlidae. The transcript has 2 exons. The record is from RefSeq and is a predicted model, not a curated record.
CCUAAACGUAUCAGUUGUCAAAAUGAUGCUGUAGGAAGGUUGAUUCAGACAAAUAGGGAUAGAAUAAAAUUAAAUAAGAUUACCGAACUUUGGUACAGCAUUCAUCAGCACACAUCUGAUAGGCAGAAUCUGUGGUUCAUUUUAAAUGACUGCUAAAAACUAUUUUCUAUAGGUUAGCGUUUCUUCAUAGUUUUGCCCAUUAUUUAUGCCCUUUUGUUCUUUCUACAUGUGUGUAUAGGCGUCUGUAUACAAGAAUAAAUGAAAAACCCUGUGCUUGACUCUGUGUUUAGAUGUAUAAUUAUGUACGCUUAUUUGUUGUGUUUUUAUCUGUGACAGUGCUAGUGAUGUUCAAAUAAUGCUUGUCGUUUUAUUGUUGAUAUUGUUGUUAAAAAGGAUCUAAACUAACAAGCCGAUUAGCGGAUACGUUUUUUAAUAAAAUCCAAAAACACACGAGCGCCAUACACGGUAUAGGCGCGCUCAUCGUCUUAUUCUGAAAUUCCCAACCGGAUGUGGCCUUGCAUAAAUCCCGUUGGUGUUCCGCCUGUGGAAAAGCGACCGUUGGAGCGUUUUCUCUUCACCGUGCUCCCAUCCGUUGUGUCCGUCAGCGGCCAUAUCUACUGUAACCGCAUUCAUUCAUUUUUAGACGCACUGCUAUUUUUUUCUUGAACUAAAAGACGGCUAUUUAGUGAGAAAGCCGUGAGCAUCUCGUUGUUUCGUUACCCUCUCGGACGUUUGUCGGUUUAUGCCUCGGUGAGUGUCCGUUGAAGGCUGGGUGGUAACAGUUCGGCUUCACGAUGAUCGAGCGACCAGAAACCGCGGUUCCCAGCAUCGCUCAGCGGAACCUAGAGGGCUACGUGGGCUUUGCCAACCUCCCCAACCAGGUGUAUCGGAAGUCUGUCAAAAGAGGGUUUGAGUUCACAUUAAUGGUUGUAGGUAAGUUGGAAACAUCAACACCUUGACUGUAAGUGAGGACACUCAUGUGCAUGUUUGCUUCUAUUGUGUGUACACCUGCCACUGCUGUGCGUUUUCCAUUGCUGCGUGCAUGAGUCAUCAGCACAGGUUCAAAGACAGUAAAACAUGUGCGGCAUCCCAUACAUGUCACAUUCAGCUGCUCAGGAUGAAGAGUUGACAGUUUAAAAGGCAGUUAAAGGCUUCGAGGUGUUGUUCAGUGAUGAAGAAAGUGUGUCUGUCACCUUAGUAAAAGAUGGAUUUCCACAGUUUCCCACAAGGGUUUUCUCACGUUCCUCUGGCCAGGACGCACAAUGACACAUCAGUGUGUUUUGGAUGACUUCAUUUGGAAAGUAAGCUGCAGGAUGUCUGGUGCAAAAUGUGGCUAACUGCAUUACAGAGCAGGGGAAGUGGACAGGGGAGUGGUGGAACAAUGGCUUGGAUUGUCUAUAUAGAUCUGAAGCAGAAGGUGGUCCACGGUUAUUUUGAUUGUAACAGAUACGACUUUUACUUUUGUUGUUGUUGUAAAUAUGUCCUCCGUGUUUGUUCAGCUGUCACACAUUUUGCUAUGUAUUUUUCACAUAAUGCUAAAUAUGUAAAAGGUCACUUUUUCACCAAGUUUUUUUCACCAGCCAGUGCAAUCCUAACUCGGGCAUAUAAUGGCACAACACAAAGAUUCAGAUUUGUUUCUACCGUGUGGCUAGUUUGCCGGCUACUAUAACUUAGCUACACAUCUGUCUGGCUGUAGGUGUUUUGUUGCUGAUUCUUUUCUAUCUUUAUACUGAUUCUCAGAUACAAUAUACUGUGUAUAUACAGCAACAGGACACUAGAAUAUAAUAACAUGCAACAGCACAACAACAGUGCAGAAUAAUCAUGUUUCUCAUCACUGCCAGUCUUCAAAAAAACAUCCACAUGCCUUAUCUGUGUGCUUCAGUUUCUCUUGUUUUGCAUACUUCUUUGUCAGGAGUGUUAGUUUGUCUCUCUGCGUUCUCCAGCUUUAUUACCCCAUCUCUAACCCUAAAGUAAAUAAUACCAUCUGACGUUAGUGCUUAGCUCUGUGUAGCCGAACUUCCUUAUUUGGCCACAACAGGGAAAUGAAACUUACAAUAUGAGUCGAUCUUAAAGGAAAAAUUCCAAAAUUUUGGGAAACGCUCUUAGUGGCUUCCUGAAAAGGAAUUGUCUUUAGCAGACUGAAGAAUGGACUCAUUUCUAACUCAUAGUAACUAAAAGCAAGUCAAUAUUGGUAACCAAUCGCUGUUGCUCUGUUUUGCUACUGAUUUGACUUUUGGGGAAAAAAUAUUUCUUGUUGUGCUUUAGAAAUAUUCUUUGUUUUUGUCUUAAACUGAACAACUUUUAAAGAGGUCAUAAAUCUAACUCUGUAGCCUGUGGUGACCCCGAGCUGUUCAGUGAAUGGAGAGAGACAUUAACGCAAAGAGGCGUCCACUCAUUAUUGUCUCAGUCUGGGGUUUUAGUUUCCUGUUUAGUAAACAGCCACUGUGGAGGAGCAGUCGAGUGACAGUUUGGGAGAGGGCCACAAAGAUCCACAAUCAGCACCAUCCUGUUUCAGGGUUUCUCACACGCGGGCCCCUCUGUCGCGUCUCAGAUUUCUUAGCAUGCAGCAGCAUAUAAAUUUCACACAUAACUAGCGAGCACGUUUUAAAGAGAAAGUUCAGUGGAAAGUUUCUCAGCUGCAGUCUGUUCCUGUAUUCAUCACACUGUUGUCUGAAAACUCUUGUUUUAUUUAAACAGCACAGAGUGCAAAGACACUGAUCACAAAUUCUAGUACAUCAUGUUUUACCCGAUUUAUCAGGGUUACUGGUAAAAACUUGCAUCAUAAUUAUCAUUUUUGAAAUCUUAAAAAGAAAACACACAAAAAAGAAAAAAAAUACAUCUUAUUAAUACUGGCUAAUUAGGAUUCAGUUACACACGAAUACUUGUUGGUUUUGGGGACGAGGCUCUGAAGGCGAAGAAUCUUAUCACAGGGAGGUUUUUGGUAUGGUACUGCAUACAUGCACUGGAGAAAAAAAAUGUGACAGGAAGGACCUGCUGAGACUCUGGAUUAAUCCAUAGUGUUGCUGAAACAGCAACUAGUGUGUUUCUGUCUACCCAGAUAAAGAGCUUAACGGGUUAAAAGUACCAAUUAAAUAUGCAGGGCCACUUGUAAUUGUGAAGUUGGCUCAUGCAGCUUCAACACUUUUUGCAGCUUCUGUUGUUAUAUCUGUUAACAUAAUCAAACUGCGUUUUGUUUUGUUUUUUUGUCAUGUUAGGCGUUUACUUUUGCUGUUACCCUGAACAGAUUUCCAGAGCAGUAGGUUAAACAUUUGCGUCUUUAUCAUAAAAUGCGGACUCGACCAAAUAUGAGGCUCAUAAAAGUCACGAUCACAGAACAAUGUAUUUUAAUGGAGAAGUUGCAGAGGGGAAAAAAAGGAAAUACCAGUGUUAGAAAGAGAGACAGAAGAGCUGAUUAUGUUUUGACUUGACGAGCAGCCAACUGGAGCUACAGUCUAAGACUAAAGGUUGGCUUCAGUUCUGCUGUACUUGGCAUUGUCACGAAGUGUGAAAGCUCAGCUGGCCUCUGAGGCCGUGCAUUGUUCUGCCGCACUUUUGGAAAGACAGAUGGUGAAAUAUUAGACGACUGGGCUGAUGCCUGCAGCUCACUUGCUCAGAUUCCAGUAGUGCAAGCAAACACUUGAGCUUAUUGUUAAGGCUUGACCUUAGAAACAAAAAUGACCCCCCCCCCC